This 332-nucleotide ribosomal RNA is filed under the name uncultured bacterium. RNAcentral's name for it is "bacterial SSU rRNA". It matches the Rfam family "Bacterial small subunit ribosomal RNA", at positions 568 to 898 of the family's 1533-position model. The record is from RNAcentral.
UGCGCAGGCGGCCAGGUGUGUGAGGCGUGAAAGCCCGGAGCUCAACUCCGGAAUUGCACCUCAAACUACUUGGCUAGAGCAUUGGAGAGGGUAGCAGAAUUCACGGUGUAGCAGUGAAAUGCGUAGAUAUCGUGAGGAAUACCAGAGGCGAAGGCGGCUACCUGGACAAUUGCUGACGCUCAGGCACGAAAGCGUGGGGAGCAAAAGGGAUUAGAUACCCCUGUAGUCCACGCCCUAAACGGUGCACACUAGGUCUUGGAGGAUUCGACCCCUUCAGGGCCCAAGCUAACGCGUUAAGUGUGCCGCCUGAGGACUACGGCCGCAAGGCUAAA